RNAcentral lists this transfer RNA (104 nucleotides) under Streptomyces abikoensis. RNAcentral describes it as "tRNA-Gly". Lineage: Bacteria; Bacillati; Actinomycetota; Actinomycetes; Kitasatosporales; Streptomycetaceae. The record is from RNAcentral.
CCGGGGGCGAGCGCCUGGCCUUCGGGGCCGUCUGGCUCACCGGGACGGAGAUCGGGUGGGGAGAGGUCCGCACGCGGUGGUCGCGGAUCCGCCGCCUCCGGACC